Molecule: ribosomal RNA, 449 nt
Filed under: uncultured bacterium
Lineage: Bacteria
Description: bacterial SSU rRNA
Rfam family: Bacterial small subunit ribosomal RNA
Source: RNAcentral
CAGUAGGGAAUCUUCCACAAUGGGCGCAAGCCUGAUGGAGCAACACCGCGUGAGUGAAGAAGGGUUUCGGCUCGUAAAGCUCUGUUGUUAAAGAAGAACACGUAUGAGAGUAACUGUUCAUACGUUGACGGUAUUUAACCAGAAAGUCACGGCUAACUACGUGCCAGCAGCCGCGGUAAUACGUAGGUGGCAAGCGUUAUCCGGAUUUAUUGGGCGUAAAGAGAGUGCAGGCGGUUUUCUAAGUCUGAUGUGAAAGCCUUCGGCUUAACCGGAGAAGUGCAUCGGAAACUGGAUAACUUGAGUGCAGAAGAGGGUAGUGGAACUCCAUGUGUAGCGGUGGAAUGCGUAGAUAUAUGGAAGAACACCAGUGGCGAAGGCGGCUACCUGGUCUGCAACUGACGCUGAGACUCAAAAGCAUGGGUAGCGAACAGGAUUAGAUACCCUGGUAG